This 2979-nucleotide ribosomal RNA is filed under the name Escherichia coli. Its description in RNAcentral is "23S ribosomal RNA". It matches the Rfam family "Bacterial large subunit ribosomal RNA". The record is from RNAcentral. Lineage: Bacteria; Pseudomonadati; Pseudomonadota; Gammaproteobacteria; Enterobacterales; Enterobacteriaceae.
GGUUAAGCGACUAAGCGUACACGGUGGAUGCCCUGGCAGUCAGAGGCGAUGAAGGACGUGCUAAUCUGCGAUAAGCGUCGGUAAGGUGAUAUGAACCGUUAUAACCGGCGAUUUCCGAAUGGGGAAACCCAGUGUGUUUCGACACACUAUCAUUAACUGAAUCCAUAGGUUAAUGAGGCGAACCGGGGGAACUGAAACAUCUAAGUACCCCGAGGAAAAGAAAUCAACCGAGAUUCCCCCAGUAGCGGCGAGCGAACGGGGAGGGGAACUGAAACAUCUAAGUACCCCGAGGAAAAGAAAUCAACCGAGAUUCCCCAGUAGCGGCGAGCGAACGGGGAGCAGCCCAGAGCCUGAAUCAGUGUGUGUGUUAGUGGAAGCGUCUGGAAAGGCGCGCGAUACAGGGUGACAGCCCCGUACACAAAAAUGCACAUGCUGUGAGCUCGAUGAGUAGGGCGGGACACGUGGUAUCCUGUCUGAAUAUGGGGGGACCAUCCUCCAAGGCUAAAUACUCCUGACUGACCGAUAGUGAACCAGUACCGUGAGGGAAAGGCGAAAAGAACCCCGGCGAGGGGAGUGAAAAAGAACCUGAAACCGUGUACGUACAAGCAGUGGGAGCACGCUUCGGCGUGUGACUGCGUACCUUUUGUAUAAUGGGUCAGCGACUUAUAUUCUGUAGCAAGGUUAACCGAAUAGGGGAGCCGAAGGGAAACCGAGUCUUAACUGGGCGUUAAGUUGCAGGGUAUAGACCCGAAACCCGGUGAUCUAGCCAUGGGCAGGUUGAAGGUUGGGUAACACUAACUGGAGGACCGAACCGACUAAUGUUGAAAAAUUAGCGGAUGACUUGUGGCUGGGGGUGAAAGGCCAAUCAAACCGGGAGAUAGCUGGUUCUCCCCGAAAGCUAUUUAGGUAGCGCCUCGUGAAUUCAUCUCCGGGGGUAGAGCACUGUUUCGGCAAGGGGGUCAUCCCGACUUACCAACCCGAUGCAAACUGCGAAUACCGGAGAAUGUUAUCACGGGAGACACACGGCGGGUGCUAACGUCCGUCGUGAAGAGGGAAACAACCCAGACCGCCAGCUAAGGUCCCAAAGUCAUGGUUAAGUGGGAAACGAUGUGGGAAGGCCCAGACAGCCAGGAUGUUGGCUUAGAAGCAGCCAUCAUUUAAAGAAAGCGUAAUAGCUCACUGGUCGAGUCGGCCUGCGCGGAAGAUGUAACGGGGCUAAACCAUGCACCGAAGCUGCGGCAGCGACACUAUGUGUUGUUGGGUAGGGGAGCGUUCUGUAAGCCUGUGAAGGUGUGCUGUGAGGCAUGCUGGAGGUAUCAGAAGUGCGAAUGCUGACAUAAGUAACGAUAAAGCGGGUGAAAAGCCCGCUCGCCGGAAGACCAAGGGUUCCUGUCCAACGUUAAUCGGGGCAGGGUGAGUCGACCCCUAAGGCGAGGCCGAAAGGCGUAGUCGAUGGGAAACAGGUUAAUAUUCCUGUACUUGGUGUUACUGCGAAGGGGGGACGGAGAAGGCUAUGUUGGCCGGGCGACGGUUGUCCCGGUUUAAGCGUGUAGGCUGGUUUUCCAGGCAAAUCCGGAAAAUCAAGGCUGAGGCGUGAUGACGAGGCACUACGGUGCUGAAGCAACAAAUGCCCUGCUUCCAGGAAAAGCCUCUAAGCAUCAGGUAACAUCAAAUCGUACCCCAAACCGACACAGGUGGUCAGGUAGAGAAUACCAAGGCGCUUGAGAGAACUCGGGUGAAGGAACUAGGCAAAAUGGUGCCGUAACUUCGGGAGAAGGCACGCUGAUAUGUAGGUGAAGUCCCUCGCGGAUGGAGCUGAAAUCAGUCGAAGAUACCAGCUGGCUGCAACUGUUUAUUAAAAACACAGCACUGUGCAAACACGAAAGUGGACGUAUACGGUGUGACGCCUGCCCGGUGCCGGAAGGUUAAUUGAUGGGGUUAGCGCAAGCGAAGCUCUUGAUCGAAGCCCCGGUAAACGGCGGCCGUAACUAUAACGGUCCUAAGGUAGCGAAAUUCCUUGUCGGGUAAGUUCCGACCUGCACGAAUGGCGUAAUGAUGGCCAGGCUGUCUCCACCCGAGACUCAGUGAAAUUGAACUCGCUGUGAAGAUGCAGUGUACCCGCGGCAAGACGGAAAGACCCCGUGAACCUUUACUAUAGCUUGACACUGAACAUUGAGCCUUGAUGUGUAGGAUAGGUGGGAGGCUUAGAAGUGUGGACGCCAGUCUGCAUGGAGCCGACCUUGAAAUACCACCCUUUAAUGUUUGAUGUUCUAACGUGGACCCGUGAUCCGGGUUGCGGACAGUGUCUGGUGGGUAGUUUGACUGGGGCGGUCUCCUCCUAAAGAGUAACGGAGGAGCACGAAGGUUGGCUAAUCCUGGUCGGACAUCAGGAGGUUAGUGCAAUGGCAUAAGCCAGCUUGACUGCGAGCGUGACGGCGCGAGCAGGUGCGAAAGCAGGUCAUAGUGAUCCGGUGGUUCUGAAUGGAAGGGCCAUCGCUCAACGGAUAAAAGGUACUCCGGGGAUAACAGGCUGAUACCGCCCAAGAGUUCAUAUCGACGGCGGUGUUUGGCACCUCGAUGUCGGCUCAUCACAUCCUGGGGCUGAAGUAGGUCCCAAGGGUAUGGCUGUUCGCCAUUUAAAGUGGUACGCGAGCUGGGUUUAGAACGUCGUGAGACAGUUCGGUCCCUAUCUGCCGUGGGCGCUGGAGAACUGAGGGGGGCUGCUCCUAGUACGAGAGGACCGGAGUGGACGCAUCACUGGUGUUCGGGUUGUCAUGCCAAUGGCACUGCCCGGUAGCUAAAUGCGGAAGAGAUAAGUGCUGAAAGCAUCUAAGCACGAAACUUGCCCCGAGAUGAGUUCUCCCUGACCCUUUAAGGGUCCUGAAGGAACGUUGAAGACGACGACGUUGAUAGGCCGGGUGUGUAAGCGCAGCGAUGCGUUGAGCUAACCGGUACUAAUGAACCGUGAGGCUUAACCUU